RNAcentral lists this long non-coding RNA (232 nucleotides) under Citrus sinensis (sweet orange). RNAcentral describes it as "long non-coding RNA (CSIN_LNC005017)". Lineage: Eukaryota; Viridiplantae; Streptophyta; Magnoliopsida; Sapindales; Rutaceae. The record is from RNAcentral.
UUAAGUGGCUUGACUGGGUUUGCUCCCCAGUUCGAGUCGCAGGGAAGUCGCCUUUGUUGGGAGAACAUGUGCCUCCCGGUUCGAGCGGGGACUUCUAGUCUGGGUUGUGGUACGGGCUUAAAGGUGCCUCCCACAGUUGGGGCCCUCCCCAGGAUACCUCGUGAUUAAUAUCAAAAAAAAAAUAAAUAAGAAGUAAAAUCUCAUUUAAAGAGUUUUUUUGAUGAUAUUCUUA